Molecule: ribosomal RNA, 253 nt
Filed under: uncultured bacterium
Lineage: Bacteria
Description: partial 16S ribosomal RNA
Rfam family: Bacterial small subunit ribosomal RNA
Source: RNAcentral
UACGAAGGGGGCUAGCGUUGCUCGGAAUCACUGGGCGUAAAGCGCACGUAGGCGGCUUUCUAAGUCUGGGGUGAAAUCCUGGAGCUCAACUCCAGAACUGCCUUUGAUACUGGAAAGCUUGAGUUCGGGAGAGGUGAGUGGAACUGCGAGUGUAGAGGUGAAAUUCGUAGAUAUUCGCAAGAACACCAGUGGCGAAGGCGGCUCACUGGCCCGAUACUGACGCUGAGGUGCGAAAGCGUGGGGAGCAAACAGG